Molecule: long non-coding RNA, 2081 nt
Filed under: Bos indicus x Bos taurus (hybrid cattle)
Lineage: Eukaryota; Metazoa; Chordata; Mammalia; Artiodactyla; Bovidae
Description: lncRNA (ENSBIXG00000019397.1)
Source: RNAcentral
GAAAGAUCUCCACUUCCACCAUCACCUAAACAGAUAUGGCUGUCAUUCUAGCCCCCAGCUGACCUCUUGCCUCUGCAUAUCUCUUGCUGGUUUCUCAACAGGCUGGCACGCCAUACUCAAAACCUAUACUUUCCACUUACCACAAAAUUUGUUCUUCCCCAUGUUCUUCCUAUCUUUUUCAGAGUCAUGAGCAUCCACAGAGUUGUCCAAGCCAGAAAUACUGAAGUCAAUCUAACUCUUCUCUCUUCUAACAAGUUAUGAUUGAGGCAACUUGGGAUAAUCUGCUCAGCAUUCCUUGUUUCUCUCCACACAGGGUAAACAUUUGAGUCACCACAGUAAAGCAACGGGACACUGUAUCUCAUGCCAGUGAAUUGGUCCAGGGGUAAACAGCUGAAGUAAGCUGAAUUUUGGACUUGGAACCACUGGGGACAUGAGGUUCUGUUUUUUUUUUUUUUUAAUGGUGGAAACAGCAAGAUGCAAGGCUAAAGCUAUUGGUGUUUCUGUAUGUUCUCUGUACGUUUCCCAUCAUACAGAGAAAACUAAUCAGUAAUGAGCUAAAAUGAUAUUGACAUGAAGAAAAGAUAGCAGAGAGAGACCCAGAAGGACUGAAAUCCCUGGUUAUUCAUAAGACUCAAGUGUCUCCCUCCUCAUCCUGAAACUUGAUUGUUCACAUGAAUGAAGUUCAGAAGGAUGAAAGCUUGGAGUGUAAGGGUCAGAGAAGGAUUACAGCUGAGACUCAAGAGAGAAGACCUGGAAAGAGGAACUGCACUUGGUUGCUGGAAUCUCAGAUCUUCAAGUUGGACAGCUGAUUUCCAACACAAUGGCCACCUCAGGAUUUACCGUGGCAAAGCUGCUUUAUAAAUUUUUGUUGAAUUAUUGAAAAGUUAUGCACGUUUUAUUCACUCAUAUAUACCCAAUGCCAAACACAUAGAAUAUGACUGGCAAAUAACUAUUGGCUGAAUGAAUAACUAACCCUAACCCAAAUUAUGACGAAUUUGGCCCUCUGCAUUCUUCCACUUGCUCUUCAGUGACUUAUUCCUUGGUUUCAACAACAUUCCCUUCCUUCCUUGUGAUAUUGUUUGAGGAGGAGCCUAGUAUGGUAGUUAUUUGCUCAGGCUCUAGAAACAGACAAACCCAUUUUCAAACAACAGAAACUCACUUCUACUACCUACUAGGUGAACAAUUAGUUUGACCUCUAGCCUCACUUUCUUUACUGGUAAAAGGAAUAAUAGUAUUACCCUGGAGAGCCGUUAUGAGGCUUAAAGCAAACACAGCAUAUGAAGCAUGUAGCCUAGUACCUGGUGAGAUACUGGUUCAAUGGUAAAGAAUCCUCCUGCCAGUGCAGGAGAUGCAAGAGAUGCAGGUUUGACCCCUGGGUCAGGAAGAUCCCCUGGAGAAGGAAAUGGCAACCCACUCCAGUAUUCUUGCCUGGUGAAUCCCUUGGACACAGAAGCCUGGCAGACUACAGUCCAUAAGGUCUCAAAGAGUCAGAUAUGAUUGAGCGCACGUGCACAACAAUGACAGACCCUGGUCAGCACUAAGUCAAGUUGAUACAUCACAUACAGUUACUUAACUGCACCCCUGUUUAAGCUGUGUAUUUCUCCAAAUAUUAAAUGACCCAAAACUACCACCCCACCACCACACACACACACACACACACACAUGCACAAAGUGGUUUUCAACCCAUUUGCCAGUCCCUCAGAGAUUCUAAUGGGACAAAGUAGGUGAUUAAAUAGUUAAUCCCAUUUGGGUACUGUAAAACAGGAAGAGUGUGGGAGACUCCUCUAAGUUAAUAAUUACUCAAGAAAGUAUGUUUGGGCUUCUGUGGUGGCUCAGCAGUAAAGAAUACAAAGGCCAGUGCAGGAGACAUGGGUUGAAUCCCUGGUCCAGGAAGAUCCCACAUGCCUCAGAGCAACUAAGACUGUGCUUCCCAACAAGAGAAACCACAAAAAUGAGAAGACAGCACACCAUGACUAGAGAGUAGCUCCCGCUCGCUGCAACUAGGGAAAAAGCUUUCACAGCAACGGAGACCCAGCACAGCCAAAAAUAAAUAAAGAAAAUUAUUAAAGAAAAAAAAAAGA